GUGGAGGACCGAACCCACCAGGGUUGAAAACCUGGGGGAUGAACUGUGGGUAGGGGUGAAAGGCCAAUCAAACUCCGUGAUAGCUGGUUCUCCCCGAAAUGCAUUUAGGUGCAGCGUUGCGUGUUGCUUGCCGGAGGUAGAGCUACUGGUUGGUUGAGCGGGACUACAAUCUUAGCAAUGUCAGCCAAACUCCGAAUGCCGGUUUAAGUUAGCGCAGCAGUGAGACUGUGGGGGAUAAGCUUCAUAGUCGAGAGGGAAACAGCCCAGAUCGCCGGCUAAGGCCCCUAAGCGUGUACUAAGUGGAAAAGGAUGUGGGAUCGCGAUGACAGCCAGGAGGUUGGCUUAGAAGCAGCCAUCCUUGAAAGAGUGCGUAAUAGCUCACUGGUCGAGUGGUUCUGCGCCGACAAUGUAGUGGGGCUCAAGUACACCGCCGAAGCCGCGGCAAUGAUUCUUUUGAGGAUUGUUGGGUAGGGGAGCGUCGUGCACAGCUGUGAAGCAGUACCGUGAGGGGCUGUGGAGUGUGUGCGAGUGAGAAUGCAGGCAUGAGUAACGAUUUGGCAAGUGAGAAUCUUGUCCGCCGGAUGACUAAGGGUUCCUGGGUCAAGUUCGUCUUCCCAGGGUGAGUCGGGUCCUAAGGCGAGGCCGACAGGCGUAGUCGAUGGUUAACGGGUUGAUAUUCCCGUACCCGUAUAUGUGCGUCCAUGGUGAAUCAGUGAUACUAACCAUCCACAAGUCUUCCGCUGCUGUCUUUGAUGGUGGUGGUUGGGGCGUGCGUGGAGCCUGAUCUGGUAGUAGCUAAGUGAUGGGGUGACGCAGUGGGGUAGCUGAGCCACUUAUUGGAUUGUGGUGCAAGCGUGUAGGGCGAUCGGUAGGUAAAUCCGCCGGUCAUGAUGCCUGAGGCGUGAUGCGUAGCCCCUUUUUGGGGUGAUGUUGGUGAUCCCGUGCUGUCGAGAAAAGCCUCUAGCGAGUGCAUAUAUGGCCCGUACCCUAAACCGACACAGGUAGUCAGGUAGAGAAUACUAAGGCGUUCGGGUGAACUGUGGUUAAGGAACUCGGCAAAAUGCCCCCGUAACUUCGGGAGAAGGGGGGCCAUUGCUGGUGAUACAUCUUGCAUGUUGAGCUGGUGGUGGUCGCAGAGAAUAGAGGGAAGCGACUGUUUAUUAAAAACACAGGUCCGUGCGAAAACGAUUAAGUUGAGGUAUACGGACUGACGCCUGCCCGGUGCUGGAAGGUUAAGAGGACCUGUUAGCUGUUAAAGGCGAAGCGGAGAAUUUAAGCCCCAGUAAACGGCGGUGGUAACUAUAACCAUCCUAAGGUAGCGAAAUUCCUUGUCGGGUAAGUUCCGACCUGCACGAAUGGCGUAACGAUGGCGGCGCUGUCUCCACCCGAGACUCAGUGAAAUUGAAAUCGCUGUGAAGAUGCAGUGUAUCCGCGGCUAGACGGAAAGACCCCGUGAACCUUUACUAUAGCUUUGCACUGGACUUUGAAUUUGCUUGUGUAGGAUAGGUGGGAGGCUUUGAAGCGUGGACGCCAGUUCGCGUGGAGCCAACCUUGAAAUACCACCCUGGCAACUUUGAGGUUCUAACUCAGGUCCGUUAUCCGGAUCGAGGACAGUGUAUGGUGGGUAGUUUGACUGGGGCGGUCUCCUCCUAAAGAGUAACGGAGGAGUACGAAGGUGCGCUCAGACCGGUCGGAAAUCGGUCGUAGAGUAUAAAGGCAAAAGCGCGCUUGACUGCGAGACAGACACGUCGAGCAGGUACGAAAGUAGGUCUUAGUGAUCCGGUGGUUCUGUAUGGAAGGGCCAUCGCUCAACGGAUAAAAGGUACUCCGGGGAUAACAGGCUGAUACCGCCCAAGAGUUCAUAUCGACGGCGGUGUUUGGCACCUCGAUGUCGGCUCAUCACAUCCUGGGGCUGAAGCCGGUCCCAAGGGUAUGGCUGUUCGCCAUUUAAAGUGGUACGCGAGCUGGGUUUAGAACGUCGUGAGACAGUUCGGUCCCUAUCCGCUGCGCGCGUAGGAAAUUUGAGAAGAUCUAUCCCUAGUACGAGAGGACCGGGAUGGACGAACCUCUGGUGUGUCAGUUGUUCUGCCAAGGGCACCGCUGAUUAGCUACGUUCGGAACGGAUAACCGCUGAAAGCAUCUAAGCGGGAAGCCGGCUUCGAGAUGAGAUUUCCAUACCCUUCGGGGUGAGAGGCUCCCAGCUAGACUACUGGGUUGAUAGGCCGGAUGUGGAAGUGGGGACUAACGACCCAUGGAGCUGACCGGUACUAAUAAGCCG
Molecule: ribosomal RNA, 2278 nt
Filed under: Schizochytrium aggregatum
Lineage: Eukaryota; Bigyra; Thraustochytrida; Thraustochytriidae
Description: partial Bacterial large subunit ribosomal RNA
Rfam family: Bacterial large subunit ribosomal RNA
Source: RNAcentral